RNAcentral lists this long non-coding RNA (1005 nucleotides) under Piliocolobus tephrosceles (Ugandan red Colobus). RNAcentral describes it as "lncRNA (ENSPTEG00000038321.1)". The record is from RNAcentral. Lineage: Eukaryota; Metazoa; Chordata; Mammalia; Primates; Cercopithecidae.
ACUGUGUGGACACUGCCUCUUGUGUGCAUUACAUCCUUUCCCCUGCUCCUAAGUAGCUGCAUGGAUGCCUCAUGGGUUGGGAGAAGCAAGGAGGUGUAAGGGUUCUAUUGAAAACGGUACCUGGGCUGUGGAGGGUGCCACUGCUGGGGGGUGCAGGGGCUCACCUGGGAGAGUUUCACCUCCCUAUCCCCUCUCUGUUCUAUGCCAGGUGCUGUGUGUUCCUCACCUCCCAAAACAACGUCACCAGAAACUCAUUAGGGAACCCUCCUCCUGUGCGGCAACAGUCUGGCCGGAGGCCCAGUCGUGGGGCGGUGUCUGCCGUCGGGGUCCAGAUCCACGGCACGCAGAGUCCGGGAGGCCCGGGAGGAACCAGCUGGCAAAGGACUUGGGAAAGGCGGACCUUCUUCCCGGCAGGCCUGACUCCGGUCUCCGUGGCCAAAGCAGAUCCUGGAGGAUUCUGAGUUCUUUUGAAAGACAAGAUAGCCACAUGUUCCAGAACUGUAGACUCAGACACGCCUGGUGUGUGUGUGUGUGUUCACGUGCGUACAGACAUAUGUGUAAACACACAUAUUUAUCUUGGAAGAAUGUUCUCUAUAGCAGAAGCAGCCACUCCAAGAAAAGAAAAAAAUAAAGGAAAAAAUGAAAAAAAAAAAAAAAAAAACAAACAGGGAAGAAAAAGGAAACGAAGAUGAUGCCAUCUCCCUCUACAGAGCCUUCUGCAUGCCCAGAAACAGCGAGCCAUGGCCUCAUUUCUGGGGCCCUGGCUGACACCCAGGGUGGCUGAUGGAGCCACAGGAAAUUCCUGGGGUCAAGCCAAAAGGAGGGUCGCCCCACCGCUCUCGGGCUUUAGGCCACAUGCCCCAGGCCUUUAGCCCCAUAACCUCGAGGCGCUUCUGCAUGGAGGCAGUGCCCAGGGCAUGAGGGUUAGGCCUGCGGCAGGGAUGCAUCGGCACUGGGGACAGCGACACAGACCACAGACGCAGACGGUACGCACAUGGUUGGGCC